GCUUAGCCCUAAACACAAAUAAUUACAUAACAAAAUUAUUCGCCAGAGCACUACCGGCAAUAGCCUAAAACUCAAAGGACUUGGCGGUGCUUUAUAUCCUUCUAGAGGAGCCUGUUCUAUAAUCGAUAAACCCCGAUAAACCUCACCAAUCCUUGCUAAUACAGUCUAUAUACCGCCAUCUUCAGCAAACCCUGAAAAGGAAUAAAAGUAAGCACAAUUAUAAGACAUAAAAACGUUAGGUCAAGGUGUAACCUAUGGACUGGAAAGAAAUGGGCUACAUUUUCUAUCUCAAGAAAACUUAAUACGAAAGUUGCUAUGAAACUAGCAACCAAAGGAGGAUUUAGUAGUAAACUAAGAAUAGAGUGCUUAGUUGAAUUAGGCCAUGAAGCACGCACACACCGCCCGUCACCCUCCUCGAAUGACUAAAACACACUUAAACAUAUUUAAACGCACUAACCACAUGAGAGGAGACAAGUCGUAACAAGGUAAGCAUACNGGAAAGUGUGCUUGGAUAAACCAAGACAUAGCUNAAACA
This 535-nucleotide ribosomal RNA is filed under the name Gazella arabica (Arabian gazelle). RNAcentral's name for it is "partial 12S ribosomal RNA". It matches the Rfam family "Bacterial small subunit ribosomal RNA", at positions 794 to 1533 of the family's 1533-position model. The record is from RNAcentral. Lineage: Eukaryota; Metazoa; Chordata; Mammalia; Artiodactyla; Bovidae.